This 463-nucleotide ribosomal RNA is filed under the name uncultured bacterium. RNAcentral describes it as "partial 16S ribosomal RNA". It matches the Rfam family "Bacterial small subunit ribosomal RNA", at positions 28 to 507 of the family's 1533-position model. The record is from RNAcentral.
GACGAACGCUGGCGGCGUGCUUAACACAUGCAAGUCGAACGGAAAGGCCUUUUCGGAGGUACUCGAGUGGCGAACGGGUGAGUAACACGUGGGUGAUCUGCCCUGCACUCUGGGAUAAGCCUGGGAAACUGGGUCUAAUACCGGAUAGGACCGCACUUUAGUGUGUGUGGUGGAAAGUUUUUUCGGUGUAGGAUGAGCCCGCGGCCUAUCAGCUUGUUGGUGGGGUAAUGGCCUACCAAGGCGGCGACGGGUAGCCGGACUGAGAGGUUGGUCGGCCACAUUGGGACUGAGGUACGGCCCAGACUCCUACGGGAGGCAGCAGUGGGGAAUAUUGCACAAUGGGCGCAAGCCUGAUGCAGCGACGCCGCGUGGGGGAUGACGGCCUUCGGGUUGUAAACUCCUUUCGCCAGGGACGAAGCGUUUUGUGACGGUACCUGGAGAAGAAGCACCGGCUAACUACGUG